AAUAGAUACCCUGGUAGUCCAUGCCGUAAACGUUGGGCACUAGGUGUGGGGGACAUUCCACGUUUUCCGCGCCGUAGCUAACGCAUUAAGUGCCCCGCCUGGGGAGUACGGCCGCAAGGCUAAAACUCAAAGGAAUUGACGGGGGCCCGCACAAGCGGCGGAGCAUGCGGAUUAAUUCGAUGCAACGCGAAGAACCUUACCAAGGCUUGACAUGUUCCAGACCGCCUCAGAGAUGGGGUUUCCCUUUGGGGCUGGUUCACAGGUGGUGCAUGGUUGUCGUCAGCUCGUGUCGUGAGAUGUUGGGUUAAGUCCCGCAACGAGCGCAACCCUCGUUCCAUGUUGCCAGCACGUAGUGGUGGGGACUCAUGGGAGACUGCCGGGGUCAACUCGGAGGAAGGUGGGGAUGACGUCAAAUCAUCAUGCCCCUUAUGUCUUGGGCUUCACGCAUGCUACAAUGGCCGGUACAAUGGGUUGCGAUACUGUGAGGUGGAGCUAAUCCCUAAAAGCCGGUCUCAGUUCGGAUUGGGUCUGCAACUCCG
RNAcentral lists this ribosomal RNA (539 nucleotides) under uncultured bacterium. RNAcentral's name for it is "bacterial SSU rRNA". It matches the Rfam family "Bacterial small subunit ribosomal RNA", at positions 777 to 1315 of the family's 1533-position model. The record is from RNAcentral.